This 206-nucleotide ribosomal RNA is filed under the name uncultured bacterium. Its description in RNAcentral is "partial 16S ribosomal RNA". It matches the Rfam family "Bacterial small subunit ribosomal RNA", at positions 1295 to 1500 of the family's 1533-position model. The record is from RNAcentral.
AGACUGCAGGCUGCAACUCGCCUGCACGAAGUCGGAAUUGCUAGUAAUCGUAGGUCAGCAUACUACGGUGAAUACGUUCCCGGGCCUUGUACACACCGCCCGUCAAACCAUGAGAGUUGGCAACACCCGAAGUCGGUAGUCUAACCGCAAGGNGGACGCCGCCGAAGGUGGGGUUGAUGAUUAGGGUUAAGUCGUAACAAGGUAGC